This 27-nucleotide small RNA is filed under the name Plasmodium falciparum 3D7. Its description in RNAcentral is "Pfa-npcR7359". Lineage: Eukaryota; Apicomplexa; Aconoidasida; Haemosporida; Plasmodiidae. The record is from RNAcentral.
UUUUUUUUAAAAUUCACGCCCUUCCUG